This 374-nucleotide ribosomal RNA is filed under the name uncultured eukaryote. Its description in RNAcentral is "partial 18S ribosomal RNA". It matches the Rfam family "Eukaryotic small subunit ribosomal RNA", at positions 592 to 976 of the family's 1831-position model. The record is from RNAcentral.
UAAUAGUGUAUAUUAAAGUUGUUGCAGUUAAAAAGCUCGUAGUUGAAUGUUGGUGUCGAACGAGCGGUCAGCUUCGGCUGUACUGCUCUCUCGACUCCUUCCUUCUGUGGACUACGUCGCACUUUACUGUGUGGCGCUAGGACGCAGAUCGUUUACUGUGAAAAAAUUAGAGUGUUCAAAGCAGGCCGUACGCUUGAAUACAUUAGCAUGGAAUAAUGGAAUAGGACGUCGGGCCUAUUUUGUUGGUUCUAGGACCGUCGUAAUGAUUAAUAGGGACAGUUGGGGCCGUUUAUAUUCCGUAGUCAGAGGUGAAAUUCUUGGAUUUACGGAAGAUAAACUACUGCGAAAGCAUUCGGCAAGGAUGUUUUCAUUGA